RNAcentral lists this non-coding RNA (241 nucleotides) under Desulforamulus ferrireducens. RNAcentral's name for it is "Desulfotomaculum ferrireducens T-box sequence". It matches the Rfam family "T-box leader". From Rfam's summary of the family: Uncharged tRNA acts as the effector for transcription antitermination of genes in the T-box leader family. The record is from RNAcentral. Lineage: Bacteria; Bacillati; Bacillota; Clostridia; Eubacteriales; Peptococcaceae.
GAUAAUGCGAUGAUGGAGAAAAGUAAAUCUUCCCAGCCUUCCAGGGAUAAGAAGUCGUGACUGGAAGCUUCUUUAAGGUAUGGUUGAUUGAAGUUCCCUCCGGAGUUGCUGUGCUGAAGUAUCAGUAGGCGCAGUCGGCUGUCCCGCCGUUACCAGGGAGAGGUAUCGGAUCAUGUCCUGUACCGGUAAAGUGGCUCUAGGCAAUUAGGGUGGUACCACGGAAAUAACCUCCGUCCCUUAG